CAGUUUACUUGUUAUAUUCCAUUUUCAGACAUGUGUACCUGCUAUUUUACCUCCCCUUAGAGAAAUAUAUCCAAGAAAUGCUGUUGAUGAUCUUACAGGUGUGAGGACUGUUGCAGAGGAACGCAUUAAAAAAAUAUGCCAUGCUAAUAUAUCUAGAUACAUGUCAGACAAAUACAGGGCAGCUAAUCGAAGUUCUCUUUCGGAGCUUUUUAUUUCAUUCCUUGCAAAGUUUUCUAACAUUAGUACAAAGGCUGUGAAGUUAGGAAUUUGCACAUUUACUGGACAAUGGCAAGACAUGAGAAGCAUUAUGAGAUGGUUGCCCAAAACAUACCCACUAUUUAUCGAGGACCCUUUUGAGCGGACAGAGAAUACUGCAAGGGCUGUUACUGUUGGAAACCUGGAAAGGAUAUCUGAAGCAUUUCAGUCGACAUAUCAUAGGCUUGUUUUGGACAAUCACAAUCGUAGUUCUCUCUUUGGCAUAUUAGUAAGGCCACAAAUAUCAAAUUUCAUUGCAGGAACAUCUGUUGGGAGCUCAAGUCGCACUCUCAUGGAAUACCGAAGUACUCGUCAACCAGUGAGCAGGAUUGUGUAUUCACAAUCACAAGUGCAGCAUCAAAUUCAGAACAUGAGCCUGGAAAGACAUCCCAAUUAUUUCUCUAAGAAAGGAGAGUCAUCCCAACAUUUUGAGCAAGCAAAGAGAGGAAAAUCGUCCCAACAUUUCAAAGUUGCGGGUGCAACAUCCAGUUCACAACACAAGACUGGAAAUACUUCUAACUAUUUCGCCAAGCAAAGACAGGACAGGUAUCCUGACUAUACAAGACUGGAAAAACAUUCCAACUACUUCACCAG
RNAcentral lists this unclassified non-coding RNA (849 nucleotides) under Hevea brasiliensis (rubber tree). The record is from RNAcentral. Lineage: Eukaryota; Viridiplantae; Streptophyta; Magnoliopsida; Malpighiales; Euphorbiaceae.